UGGGUUGUAUCAUAACUCUGUAUCUAAUUGCAACUGCCUGUAAUACAUAUUGUUCCUUUUCUUCCGAAAAAAAAAAAAAGAAGAAGAAGACAUUAGAUUUGGUAGUAAUAUCAUUUUAUUGAGUUGAAAUUGAAACGUUUUUCUUACAGCAGAGUGUGUCUUGUCUUCGGACUUUUAAAUUUGUAAAGAACCUAACGAGGACAAAUUUAUCUAGCUCCGAAAGAGAUCUAUGAUAAAAAGGU
This 242-nucleotide long non-coding RNA is filed under the name Elaeis guineensis (African oil palm). Its description in RNAcentral is "long non-coding RNA (EGUI_LNC034982)". The record is from RNAcentral. Lineage: Eukaryota; Viridiplantae; Streptophyta; Magnoliopsida; Arecales; Arecaceae.